CUGGAAUGCAGCUUGUUCUUGAAUUAAAGUGUUACUUUUAUAUAUAUAUAUUAUUCUUAUUAUUUUUUGUUGUUGUUUAUUAUGUUACUUGUAAUACGAAGCACGAAAGACUGAUUUUCCAUGAAGAUAUUAUAUGAAAGUCCUUGUUCAAGAUUCACUUAUGUUCUGGCAAGAGCUGUGUUUGGCAGUGAUAUAUGGAUACAGUUGAGUAAACUGCAUCCAGUGUGAGAGAUUCCUCUGGAUGGAUUCACCUCUGAUUCCUGGUAGCUUCUCUUCAAUUGUAUAUGAUAGGUCAACAACUGGCUGAAGAUUUUCUAGUAAUUUUUUGUUCAUAAAUUGACUUAUUUUAAUAAAAAUUAUACCUAUGUCAUGUUACUAA
Long non-coding RNA from Anas platyrhynchos (mallard), 379 nucleotides. RefSeq lists it as uncharacterized. NCBI's taxonomy places the organism in Eukaryota, Metazoa, Chordata, Aves, Anseriformes, Anatidae. The record is from RefSeq and is a predicted model, not a curated record.